This 257-nucleotide ribosomal RNA is filed under the name uncultured bacterium. RNAcentral describes it as "partial 16S ribosomal RNA". It matches the Rfam family "Bacterial small subunit ribosomal RNA", at positions 233 to 507 of the family's 1533-position model. The record is from RNAcentral.
GCGGCGCAUUAGCUAGUUGGUGAGGUAACGGCUCACCAAGGCGACNAUGCGUAGCCGACCUGAGAGGGUGAUCGGCCACAUUGGAACUGAGACACGGUCCAGACUCCUACGGGAGGCAGCAGUGGGGAAUAUUGCACAAUGGGCGAAAGCCUGAUGCAGCAACGCCGCGUGAGUGAUGAAGGCUUUCGAGUCGUAAAGCUCUUUGAUCAGGGAUGAUAAUGACAGUACCUGAAAAACAAGCCACGGCUAACUACGUG